UUGCCUAUGAAGAUUAAAUUGGAAUUACCGGCUGAUUUUAUUGAUGUCAAAUGGCUAUCUGAGGCUUAUU
This is a small nucleolar RNA of Impatiens glandulifera, 70 nucleotides long. The record is from RefSeq and is a predicted model, not a curated record. NCBI's taxonomy places the organism in Eukaryota, Viridiplantae, Streptophyta, Magnoliopsida, Ericales, Balsaminaceae.